UAAGGCUUUAGCUUAAUUAAAGUGUCUGUUUUGCAUACAGUAGAUGUGGGUUAAUUACCUGCAAGUCUUAAC
RNAcentral lists this transfer RNA (72 nucleotides) under Hippocampus capensis (Knysna seahorse). RNAcentral's name for it is "tRNA-Ala". It matches the Rfam family "tRNA". From Rfam's summary of the family: Transfer RNA (tRNA) molecules are approximately 80 nucleotides in length. The record is from RNAcentral. Lineage: Eukaryota; Metazoa; Chordata; Actinopteri; Syngnathiformes; Syngnathidae.